GAUGAACGCUGGCGGCGUGCCUAAUACAUGCAAGUCGAGCGAACAGACGAGGAGCUUGCUCCUCUGACGUUAGCGGCGGACGGGUGAGUAACACGUGGAUAACCUACCUAUAAGACUGGGAUAACUUCGGGAAACCGGAGCUAAUACCGGAUAAUAUAUUGAACCGCAUGGUUCAAUAGUGAAAGACGGUUUUGCUGUCACUUAUAGAUGGAUCCGCGCCGCAUUAGCUAGUUGGUAAGGUAACGGCUUACCAAGGCAACGAUGCGUAGCCGACCUGAGAGGGGGCCCGGCCACUCUGGAACUGAGACACGGUCCAGCCCCCUAGGGGAGGCAGGAGGAGGGAAUUUUCCGAAAGGGGCGAAAGCCUGACGGAGCAACGCCGGGGGAGUGAGGAAGGGCUUCGGAUCGUAAAACUCUGUUAUUAGGGAAGAAAAAAUGGGAAAGUAACUAUGCACGUCUUGACGGUACCUAAUCAGAAAGCCACGGCUAACUACGU
Molecule: ribosomal RNA, 496 nt
Filed under: uncultured bacterium
Lineage: Bacteria
Description: partial 16S ribosomal RNA
Rfam family: Bacterial small subunit ribosomal RNA
Source: RNAcentral